Molecule: long non-coding RNA, 608 nt
Organism: Oreochromis aureus
Lineage: Eukaryota; Metazoa; Chordata; Actinopteri; Cichliformes; Cichlidae
Source: Ensembl
CAGUGCUUAACUUAACAUCUUACCAAAUUCCUCUCACACAGCUAGCUUAAAGAGCUCAGUGAAACAGGCGUAGGCUAAGAAGGAAAGAGCAAACUGAUAUUUCCAUCCAGAACUGCUAGCUCAUUUAAAAGUGAGGAACAAUUAAAAGUGUGUGAACAUUUCGGUUAAACGAUGGGCGGCGAAGACAGAACGCAAGAUGCCAAAGAUGAAGAAGGCGAUGAAAGGAAAUGAGAAAAAGGAAGCGGGCUUCUCCUGGCGCUGCCCCUUCAACCAUCCACUUCACCUCUCCCUCUGCAGCUGAGCCACAACACACACCUCCCUGCCACACUGCCAAACCUUGACAUUGACUCCAAAAGUGGCACGAAGGGAUGAACAACCACUCUUCUAUAAAAUAUUCCCUCAUUUAGUGUUUUGGACAUGAUGACGGAAAGUGCUGGUGACGGCAGAGUCGAGCGGGAGGUGUGCUGGACCGGGACGAACUGUCACAGCGCAUUGUUAUCAUAAAUAAAAAUGUUUUCGUGAGCAAAAACGGUGUGUGUGUGCGUGUCGCAUACGUCACAGUGUGUUAUUCUGCUGGAAGCCACUAUCACAAGAUGGGUAGACUGUUG